Long non-coding RNA from Carassius auratus (goldfish), 631 nucleotides. RefSeq lists it as uncharacterized. NCBI's taxonomy places the organism in Eukaryota, Metazoa, Chordata, Actinopteri, Cypriniformes, Cyprinidae. The transcript has 4 exons. The record is from RefSeq and is a predicted model, not a curated record.
AAACUCAUUAUUUUCAUUAAUUUUAAAAAAGUAAACAAUUUGUUUGCAUUUGCGCUAGCAUAUUCAUGCAGCGCUGUCUCGUGAGUGCAGUGGAUGUUUUUGAAUUCCAACGGUCGAGAAGAGAUUGAUCCCCGUCUGCUGAUUUAAAUUGAUGGUCUGACAGAAAUAUUGUUGUGCGGAUUUACACUAAAACACGAAAGAGCCUGAACCGCGAAAGUGUCACAAGUUGCCUUACAUCCAUAAGUUUUGUUGUGCUUGUUGCAAACUGUUAAAUUAAGUGUUUUCCGAUCCUAAGCUUAGAAAAAAAGAUGCAAGACUUCAAACUUUCCAGUACUCCUGUGUACUGAUAAUCCGGUUUCCACCCAGUCCCAGGAGAUUAUAUUAAACCUGGAAAAUAUUGGAGAAGAUCAAUUAAGUUUUCAGGAGCACAUUACUGUGAUAAAUGCUGAGCUAUGUAAAAGUCAACCUGCUACACCAACAUAUCAAAAAUCGAAUGAGGUGCGCUCUUGUUAAAAGGGUUGAUUUAAUGACAAAAUCAACAUGAGAGGUCAUGGACAUGUUCCCAUUUCUUCGGGUUCCACAAAUUCUGCUGCAUGAAGUGAAGAUGCGGUUUGGGAAGGACCUUCAUCUC